RNAcentral lists this microRNA precursor (61 nucleotides) under Pristionchus pacificus. RNAcentral's name for it is "mir-8364 microRNA precursor family". It matches the Rfam family "mir-8364 microRNA precursor family". Lineage: Eukaryota; Metazoa; Nematoda; Chromadorea; Rhabditida; Neodiplogasteridae. The record is from Rfam by way of RNAcentral.
UCUUCAUUUCGCACACUCUCUCGCCUCUCUGACCGGCGAGAGAGUGUGCGAAAUGGAGAGA